AACACGUGGGGAACCUGCCCCAUAGUCUGGGAUACCACUUGGAAACAGGUGCUAAUACCGGAUAAGAAAGCGGAUCGCAUGAUCAGCUUUUAGAAGGCGGCGUAAGCUGUCGCUAUGGGAUGGCCCCGCGGUGCAUUAGCUAGUUGGUAAGGUAAAGGCUUACCAAGGCGAUGAUGCAUAGCCGAGUUGAGAGACUGAUCGGCCACAUUGGGACUGAGACACGGCCCAAACUCCUACGGGAGGCAGCAGGG
RNAcentral lists this ribosomal RNA (251 nucleotides) under uncultured Lactobacillus sp. RNAcentral's name for it is "partial 16S ribosomal RNA". It matches the Rfam family "Bacterial small subunit ribosomal RNA", at positions 112 to 354 of the family's 1533-position model. Lineage: Bacteria; Bacillati; Bacillota; Bacilli; Lactobacillales; Lactobacillaceae. The record is from RNAcentral.